AAGACGACCCCAAUAGCCCUACAGUGUAUGUUUUAGAAGUCCUGAGGAGCCUCCUGAGGGCCGGGGACAGUGCAUGUUAUAGAAGUCCUGAGGAGCUCCUUUGAGGGCCGGGCACAGAGCAGAGGGAGUUUUGGUGGUCAUGUCCAUCCGAGAUGUGAUUAGUUGUGAUGUGAUGCAUUCCAUGAUGACAUAUGUUUUUAAUGUUUUUAUAGUUCUGC
Molecule: long non-coding RNA, 218 nt
Filed under: Manihot esculenta (cassava)
Lineage: Eukaryota; Viridiplantae; Streptophyta; Magnoliopsida; Malpighiales; Euphorbiaceae
Description: long non-coding RNA (MESC_LNC005872)
Source: RNAcentral